AAUCAGCAGAUAAAAAAAAAAGGGAAAAGAAAAACCACCAUUUGCGUAAUCUUCGAACCCUCCUCUCUCUCUCUCUGGUGUUUCCCUAUAUAUCGACUAUGUCGCCAUUGCUGAUAAUGGAAGCAUAAGAAAUGCGAAACAAUAACAAAGAAAUCUCGAGACAUCGAGAGGACGAGAGAAGUGGGGAUGUAUUUUAAUGCCCACCGUGAUAGUAUGGUAGGGUUUUGACAGAUCUAUGAGAGACGAAGCCGAAGUCGAGAUCUUUCUAGGGGAAUCCAUCUGGGUUUUGUGGAUAAUAUAGGCGUCGAUGAGUGCUUCCACGGCGGAAUUUGAACCAUUUUUUAAAAGGGUGCAGAUAAGGUGACUGAGGAAAUGCAAACUAUGACUGACAGAAGAGAGUGAGCACAUGCAGGCAUUUGUAUGACUCCAUACCAUUGUGUGUGCGUGCUCACCUCUCUUUCUGUCAGUUGUUUUUCUCCGUUUUCUAUCUCUCUCUCUGGAUUUUUUUUUCUUCCUAGGUAAAGCAAACUCUGAGCAUAUCACUAUCACAUCACGCACUACUGAGUCUCGUUCUUAUCUUCAACCUCAUUUCCUUUUUUGUCUUUUCCGUCUCAUCUGUCUGUGCUUUGGUUGGUGAUAUGGAUAAGAUCGACACAGUUUCUUUAGCUUUUGUCAUGUGUGUGUGUGUGUAUGUACCUGUCUGUGUAUGUAUUCUGUGUGCGAGUGUGUUUGUGGGUGGUCUUGUGUUGUGUUUAAGUGGGGGGCAGACGUAUGAUCAUAGGAAUGUUUGUUUUCUGGUGGGCAUUUUUGUGGGGAAAGUUCCGAUUUUUAUUUUAUAUUAUAUGUGGAUACUAUGUUUUAUCACUGAUUUAUUCAAGUGGAUCUUGGAAAAGCUCGAGUUUUGAUAGUCCUGCUGGCCUUUGAAGAAACCGAAGCUUCAUAUGAAGAGUACUUUACCGUAGAAGCUGAUCUGGACGUGGAUCCCUCAACGUGUUUUAACCAUUCUUGUGUACAAUGUAGGCCGGAAAGUUGGAAAGGUCUACAGCAUGUUUCUUCCCGUGGAUGCGCAAACUUCCGUUAUCUGCAUAAUGGCUUGUGAAGAGACCAUGAUGAUUAAGCAAUACCGGGAUACGAUAACGUGUUUGCAUCGGAUUGCAUUUGGAGGAGUUCCAUCGAUAGGAGGCUUGAAGAGAAAUAAGGUUGAAUGAGGGGAGGUGAUAUGAUAUAUGGGAAAUGCUGUACCAAAAGCGCCUUUUGCCCUAAUGGGGAGGUUGAAAUCUCCUCCUCUCUCAAAGAUUUGCCCUAAUGAAAUCAUGGGUUGCUUAAAUAACCGGGUUUUAAGAAACGGCUCGCACGGUAAACACUUGGUUUUUUGUUUGUGCAUUGGAUGAUAUGUGCUUUCGCUUAUCUUAGAUUUGCAACAUCAUCUUUUGCAUACGUAGCGUUGCUUAUCAUUAGCUGAAGAAGAGGACACGUACACUAGCCUUUGUGGUUGAUGUUUUGUCUUAAAGCUUUUGUUCUCUUCGUAACACACUCGAUGGAAAUCUAAGAAUACAGUCUUAACUUAUUGGAUGGAU
This is a long non-coding RNA of Tarenaya hassleriana, 1577 nucleotides long. RefSeq lists it as uncharacterized. The transcript has 4 exons. NCBI's taxonomy places the organism in Eukaryota, Viridiplantae, Streptophyta, Magnoliopsida, Brassicales, Cleomaceae. The record is from RefSeq and is a predicted model, not a curated record.